GCCUGGGUGGCUCAGUCGGUUGAGUGUCUGACUUUGGCUCAGGUCAUGAUCUCAUGCGUGGGUUCGAGCCCCGCAUCUGGCU
Felis catus (domestic cat) is the source of this 82-nucleotide transfer RNA. It matches the Rfam family "tRNA". Rfam says of the family: Transfer RNA (tRNA) molecules are approximately 80 nucleotides in length. Their secondary structure includes four short double-helical elements and three loops (D, anti-codon, and T loops). The record is from Rfam. NCBI's taxonomy places the organism in Eukaryota, Metazoa, Chordata, Mammalia, Carnivora, Felidae.